RNAcentral lists this ribosomal RNA (253 nucleotides) under uncultured bacterium. RNAcentral describes it as "partial 16S ribosomal RNA". It matches the Rfam family "Bacterial small subunit ribosomal RNA", at positions 524 to 776 of the family's 1533-position model. The record is from RNAcentral.
UACAGAGGGUGCGAGCGUUGUCCGGAAUCACUGGGCGUAAAGGGCGCGUAGGUGGCGCGACAAGUCAGUGGUGAAGGCUCGACGCUUAACGUCGAGUCGGCCACUGAUACUGUUGGGCUUGAGCACUGUAGAGGCAGAUGGAAUUCCGGGUGUAGCGGUGGAAUGCGUAGAGAUCCGGAAGAACACCGGUGGCGAAGGCGGUCUGCUGGGCAGUAGCUGACACUGAGGCGCGACAGCGUGGGGAGCAAACAGG